UCGAGCGAAUGGAUUAAGAGCUUGCUCUUAUGAAGUUAGCGGCGGACGGGUGAGUAACACGUGGGUAACCUGCCCAUAAGACUGGGAUAACUCCGGGAAACCGGGGCUAAUACCGGAUAACAUUUUGAACUGCAUGGUUCGAAAUUGAAAGGCGGCUUCGGCUGUCACUUAUGGAUGGACCCGCGUCGCAUUAGCUAGUUGGUGAGGUAACGGCUCACCAAGGCAACGAUGCGUAGCCGACCUGAGAGGGUGAUCGGCCACACUGGGACUGAGACACGGCCCAGACUCCUACGGGAGGCAGCAGUAGGGAAUCUUCCGCAAUGGACGAAAGUCUGACGGAGCAACGCCGCGUGAGUGAUGAAGGCUUUCGGGUCGUAAAACUCUGUUGUUAGGGAAGAACAAGUGCUAGUUGAAUAAGCUGGCACCUUGACGGUACCUAACCAGAAAGCCACGGCUAACUACGUGCCAGCAGCCGCGGUAAUACGUAGGUGGCAAGCGUUAUCCGGAAUUAUUGGGCGUAAAGCGCGCGCAGGUGGUUUCUUAAGUCUGAUGUGAAAGCCCACGGCUCAACCGUGGAGGGUC
Molecule: ribosomal RNA, 582 nt
Filed under: Bacillus sp. Y467_4
Lineage: Bacteria; Bacillati; Bacillota; Bacilli; Caryophanales; Bacillaceae
Description: bacterial SSU rRNA
Rfam family: Bacterial small subunit ribosomal RNA
Source: RNAcentral